This 1297-nucleotide ribosomal RNA is filed under the name termite gut metagenome. RNAcentral's name for it is "bacterial LSU rRNA". It matches the Rfam family "Bacterial large subunit ribosomal RNA", at positions 683 to 1996 of the family's 2925-position model. The record is from RNAcentral.
CUGAAUAGGGCGGCAAGUCGGAGGGAGUAGACGCGAAACCAAGUGAUCUACCCUUGAGCAGGUUGAAGGUUGGGUAACACCAACUGGAGGACCGAACCCGUUGAUGUUGAAAAAUCUUGGGAUGACUUGAGGGUAGGGGUGAAAGGCUAAUCAAACUUGGAGAUAGCUCGUACUCCCCGAAAUGCAUUUAGGUGCAGCCUUAAUUAAUUUUUGUAUGAGGUAGAGCGACUGAUUGGAUGCGAGGGCUUCACCGCCUAUCAAGUCCGGACAAACUCCGAAUGCGUACAAAAUCAGAUUAGGAGUGAGGGCAUGGGUGCUAAGGUCCAUGUCCGAGAGGAGAAGAAUCCAGACCAUCAGCUAAGGUCCCCAAAUGUAUGUUAAGUUGAACUAACGAAGUCCGGUCGCCGCGACAGCUAGGAUGUUGGCUUGGAAGCAGCCAUUCAUUUAAAGAGUGCGUAACAGCUCACUAGUCGAGUGACUGGGCGUGGAUAAUACUCGGGCAUAAACAUACUACCGAAGCUAUGGAAUCCGUAAGGAUUGGUAGGGGAGCAUUCUAAACUGCGUUGAAGAUUAUUGGUGAUGAUAAUUGGAGCGUUUAGAAAAGCAAAUGUAGGUAUAAGUAACGACAAGGAGGGCGAGAAACCCUCCCGCCGAAAGACCAAGGAUUCCUGAUCAACGUUAAUCGGAUCAGGGUAAGUCGGGACCUAAUGGUAAGCCGAAUGGCGAGACAGAUGGAAGAACCGGUUAAUAUUCCGGUACUACCUUAUAGAGAGAAGUGGGGACGGAGAAGUGACAGUCCUGCCACCUGACGGAAUAGGUGGUUAAAGGGUGUAGGUGUCAAAUCCGCAAAUAGAGCUGAACCUGAUAGUAUGCAGCGUGCUUGCACAAUGCAAUAUGGAUGUAAUCAGGCUCCCAAGAAAAACCGCUAUCGUUAAUUUAUAAGGUACCCGUACUGUAAACGGACACACGUGGUCGCGUAGAAUAUACUAAGGCGCUCGAGAGAUUCAUGGUUAAGGAAUUAGGCAAAAUAGCCCUGUAACUUCGGGAUAAGGGGCACCUACCCCAGCAAUGGGGAGGUCGCAGAGAAUAGGUCCAGGCGACUGUUUAACAAAAACACAUGGCUGUGCAAAAUUUAGAGAUGAAGUAUACAGCCUGACACCUGCCCGGUGCUGGAAGGUUAAGAGGAGAUGUCAUCGCAAGAGAAGCAUUGAAUUGAAGCCCCAGUAAACGGCGGCCGUAACUAUAACGGUCCUAAGGUAGCGAAAUUCCUUGUCGGGUAAGUUCCGACCUGCACGAA